This 71-nucleotide microRNA precursor is filed under the name Eisenia fetida (common brandling worm). Its description in RNAcentral is "Efe-Let-7-P13_pre stem-loop". Lineage: Eukaryota; Metazoa; Annelida; Clitellata; Crassiclitellata; Lumbricidae. The record is from RNAcentral.
UGAGGUAGAUGGUUGUAUGGUAGAGAGUCUUAUCACUAAACAUGGAGGACCGUACAACCUUCUAGCUUUAC